Callithrix jacchus (white-tufted-ear marmoset) is the source of this 2002-nucleotide non-coding RNA. The record is from RefSeq and is a predicted model, not a curated record. NCBI's taxonomy places the organism in Eukaryota, Metazoa, Chordata, Mammalia, Primates, Cebidae.
CUGGCAUUUGGCGGGGCCUUUGUCUUUCGCUUCCACUAAAACGUGGGAUCCUUCUCUGCUGUUCCGCGUCCUCCACCUCGGGACCCCUCACCCCGGUGACUCUGUCACAGCCUCCGUUUCCCUGUCAUCUGCAGGUCCUGGGAGACGCACAGCUAAGAUGCCAGGACAUCCUGGAAGUUGGGAAAGGAAGGAAUCUCCUUAUGUGAUGUCCAAAUGGGAGUUGCUCUUGUUUCCUGAUGCUUGGAUGAAGAACAAGUAGGAGCUCUGGAGGGUCACACUGAUAGGUGGAGUUGUGACAUAACUUGGCCAAGCACACAGAUGUAUUGAUGACUUUCAUACCUCGAAGAAGCCAGUAGAAGAGAUCAUGUUGCUCAAAGCUAUGCUUAGAAGAAAAUAACAAAGAAUAUCCUGAGUCUUCUUUCUGUAAAAAGUCAUACAGAGUUACCAUUCUGUAACAUAUAUAAAGCCCUAGUUAGUGUGUUACAGAGAAGUCAUAACUGUCCACCAUGCAGAUGAGAUUCUGUUUGUCACAUGCACACCCUACCAAUCUUUGUAAUUGUCACACUCACACGUGGACAGAAUCCACUGGUGAGGUCGUGAAUCUCACAUGAAUGCAUACCACAGUUGGAACUUUGACUGUCAUAUGUGAACAUCUGGCCACAGUUGUCAUGGUGACUCAUUUCUAAACCCAGCUCAUAGGAAGGUAAGGACUCUCUUAUCUGGACUAGAGAUGUUGACUCUGGGCUUAGAAUCACAGAAAAGAUUCUGGAUUUCCUUCUUGUGUGAAGGUUACAGAGGAUUACCACUCUUGCAUAUUGUAUAAAGCUCUCAGGUGACACAGGGAGUAUCAUAGGAGUACAUAGCACACUGGUGAGAUAGUGUCUCUUGAAUGCACAUUUAGGCAACAAUAAAGAUUGUCUUUCUUACACAUAAACAUAUCCCACUGCUGAGGUUCUGAAUCUCACACAUGGAGGCUGAUGAAAGUUGGAGAAUUGACUCUCACAUAUGGGCCUGGUCCACAAGUGGUCUGGUGACUCUCAGACCAAAAUUCAGCACACACAUGAGGCUGUGACAGCACUGGAAGAAUGCAACGUGCAGAAGAAAUUGUGACUCUUGUAAAAAUUCUGUUAGCUAUUGUGUUGUUCCUUAUGUACUUAGACCCAACGUACAGGACAUGUUGACUCUCAUAUCUAGAACGGGGACAUGUAUGGAAUUUCUAAUCUCAUUACUGGACCUUCCUUCAGGUGUGAUUGUAUGUAUUUGCUAAGCAUUUUAGUGAUUUGACUCUCCUGCCUUGGUCCAGCCCACAGAUGAGAUUGUGACAUAUCUCCUGACUCUGCACCUCAAAGGUGUGACUCUCUUUUCCAACCUUGGUGCAGCCCACAGCUGGGUGACGUGGCUGGGCCUCCCACCCAGGUGAUGUCAGGUUUUUUUGCCUUUGGUGUUGCCCACAGGGUGCAUUGUGACAUAUUGCUGAGUUCUGAACUUAGGUUAUGUGACUCUUUUUUUUUCUCCAAAGCUCUGAAUAUUUUGCAUGUUAGGACUUAUUAGUAGGCCCAACACCUAUAAAAUGAGAGGCUUCUGCCUAGGCCCUUUCUACAGAGGGUCUUUUGAUGUAUCUCUACAUCAGUCACCUAGGAGAAGUGAUUCUUUACUUUUGCCUGCACUCUGCCCACAGGAAAAAUUGUUGAUUAUCACUAGGACCAGAUACCAGGUGAUGUGUCUCUCCUUCAUGGGCCGUGACCAUAGAAAGCACUGCUACGUGGCUCAGCACCCAGGUGAUGUGACUGUUGCCUGUGUCCUGCUUUCAGGAGAAGGUUGUAACAUAUUCCUGGCUGAGUAUUAAAGUGAUUUGACACUCCUGUCUGGUCCCUUCCCUCAGUAAAGAUUGUGAUGUAUUCCUGGCCAAAAGCCCAGGUGAUGUGACUCCUUCUCUCGGCCUAUUCACAGGUGGGAUUGUAAAAUAUAUUUUGGCCUAGCUCACAGGUGACAUGGUGGCUCU